CCUACGGGAGGCAGCAGUGGGGAAUAUUGCGCAAUGGGCGAAAGCCUGACGCAGCGACGCCGCGUGAGGGAUGAAGGUCUUCGGAUCGUAAACCUCUGUCAGCAGGGAAGAACGGUCACUGUGCUAAUCAGCAGUGAAUUGACGGUACCUGCAAAGGAAGCACCGGCUAACUCCGUGCCAGCAGCCGCGGUAAUACGGAGGGUGCGAGCGUUAAUCGGAAUUACUGGGCGUAAAGCGCUCGUAGGCGGUAUGUCAAGUCAAGGGUGAAAUCCCCGCGCUCAACGUGGGAACUGCCUUUGAAACUGGCAGACUGGAGUGUGUGAGAGGAUAGUGGAAUUCCAGGUGUAGGAGUGAAAUCCGUAGAUAUCUGGCGGAACAUCAGUGGCGAAGGCGACUAUCUGGCACAUAACUGACGCUGAGGAGCGAAAGCGUGGGUAGCAAACAGGAUUAGAUACCCGGGUAGUC
RNAcentral lists this ribosomal RNA (465 nucleotides) under uncultured bacterium. RNAcentral describes it as "partial 16S ribosomal RNA". It matches the Rfam family "Bacterial small subunit ribosomal RNA", at positions 338 to 795 of the family's 1533-position model. The record is from RNAcentral.